UGCCCAUUCAUCCCCGGGCGGGGAUUGGUGCCAUUACUUGCAUUAGAUAAAAGGUAUUGCACUUGUCCCGGCCUGUGGAAGAAAAGCGGCUU
This is a microRNA precursor of Cricetulus griseus (Chinese hamster), 92 nucleotides long. The record is from Ensembl. NCBI's taxonomy places the organism in Eukaryota, Metazoa, Chordata, Mammalia, Rodentia, Cricetidae.